GACGAACGCUGGCGGCGUGCCUAAUACAUGCAAGUUGAGCGAUGAAGAUUGGUGCUUGCACCAAUUUGAAGAGCAGCGAACGGGUGAGUAACGCGUGGGGAAUCUGCCUUUGAGCGGGGGACAACAUUUGGAAACGAAUGCUAAUACCGCAUAACAACUUUAAACAUAAGUUUUAAGUUUGAAAGGUGCAAUUGCAUCACUCAAAGAUGAUCCCGCGUUGUAUUAGCUAGUUGGUGAGGUAAAGGCUCACCAAGGCGAUGAUACAUAGCCGACCUGAGAGGGUGAUCGGCCACAUUGGGACUGAGACACGGCCCAAACUCCUACGGGAGGCAGCAGUAGGGAAUCUUCGGCAAUGGACGAAAGUCUGACCGAGCAACGCCGCGUGAGUGAAGAAGGUUUUCGGAUCGUAAAACUCUGUCGGUAGAGAAGAACGUUGGUGAGAGUGGAAAGCUCAUCAAGUGACGGUAACUACCCAGAAAGGGACGGCUAACUACGUG
This 497-nucleotide ribosomal RNA is filed under the name uncultured bacterium. RNAcentral's name for it is "partial 16S ribosomal RNA". It matches the Rfam family "Bacterial small subunit ribosomal RNA", at positions 28 to 507 of the family's 1533-position model. The record is from RNAcentral.